UAUAAUAUAAUUAUUUUUUAAUAUUAUUUAAAAAUAUAUAAAAGUUAUUACUUUAAGAGCUAAGCUUUUUAAAUUUAAUUUUUUUUUAAUAUUUACCGCGCCGUUGAUCAAAUCAUGUUGAUUUUUUGAAUAUUUUUCCUUCAAACCCUUGUAUAUAUAUUGCCUUGAGCUGGCAAAAAGCCAACAUUUCAUUCUCACAGCAAAUUAGCAGAAGCCA
Molecule: long non-coding RNA, 217 nt
Filed under: Manihot esculenta (cassava)
Lineage: Eukaryota; Viridiplantae; Streptophyta; Magnoliopsida; Malpighiales; Euphorbiaceae
Description: long non-coding RNA (MESC_LNC005107)
Source: RNAcentral